This 27-nucleotide non-coding RNA is filed under the name Mus musculus (house mouse). Lineage: Eukaryota; Metazoa; Chordata; Mammalia; Rodentia; Muridae. The record is from RNAcentral.
UGAGUGCUGUUACAUGACAAUUUCACU